CACAAGCGGUGGAUGAUGUGGAUUAAUUCGAUGCAACGCGAAAACCUUACCUACCCUUGACAUGCCAGGAACUUGCCAGAGAUGGCUUGGUGCCCGAAAGGGAGCCUGGACACAGGUGCUGCAUGGCUGUCGUCAGCUCGUGUCGUGAGAUGUUGGGUUAAGUCCCGCAACGAGCGCAACCCUUGUCAUUAGUUGCCAUCAUUCAGUUGGGCACUCUAAUGAGACUGCCGGUGACAAGCCGGAGGAAGGUGGGGAUGACGUCAAGUCCUCAUGGCCCUUAUGGGUAGGGCUUCACACGUCAUACAAUGGUCGGUACAGAGGGUUGCCAAGCCGCGAGGGGGAGCUAAUCCCACAAAGCCGAUCGUAGUCCGGAUCGCAGUCUGCAACUCGACUGCGUGAAGUCGGAAUCGCCAGUAAUCGUGGAUCAGCAUGUCACGGUGAAUACGUUCCCGGGUCUU
Molecule: ribosomal RNA, 458 nt
Filed under: uncultured Azospira sp.
Lineage: Bacteria; Pseudomonadati; Pseudomonadota; Betaproteobacteria; Rhodocyclales; Rhodocyclaceae
Description: bacterial SSU rRNA
Rfam family: Bacterial small subunit ribosomal RNA
Source: RNAcentral